GGUUUGAUUCUGGCUCAGGAAUGAACGCUUUGGCGGGAUGCUGCCCAUGCAAAGUCGAAAAACAGCACAGCACAGGCUUCGGUCUGGUGGCGAGUGGCGAACGGGUGAGUAAUGUAUCGGAACGUGCCUAGUAGCGGGGGAUAACUACGCGAAAGCGUAGCUAAUACAUACGCCCUUCGGGGAAAAGCGGGGGACCUUCGGGCCUCGCACUAUUAAAAAUGGCCGAUAUCGGAUUAGCUAGUUGGUGGGGUAACGGCUCACCAAGGCGGCAAUCCGUAGCUGGUUUGAGAGGACGACCAGCCACACUGGGACUGAGACACGGCCCAGACUCCUACCUGGGAGGCAGCAGUGGGGAAUUUUGGACAAUGGGGGAAACCCUGAUCCAGCCAUCCCGCGUGUGCGAUGAAGGCCUUCGGGUUGUAAACACUUUUGGCGAAAAAAACGGCACGGGAUAAUACCCCGUGCAACUGACGGUACCUGCAGAAUAAGCACCGGCUAACUACGUGCCAGCAGCCGCGGUAAUACGUAGGGUGCAAGCGUUAAUCGGAAUUACUGGGCGUAAAGCGUGCGCGGUUCGGAAAGAUGUGAAAUCCCAGAGCUUAACUUUGGAACUGCAUUUUUAACUACCGAGCUAGAGUGUGUCAGAGGGAGGUGGAAUUCCGCGUGUAGCAGUGAAAUGCGUAGAUAUGCGGAAGACACCAAUCAGCGAAAACAACUCCUGGGAUAACACUGACACUCAUGCACGAAAGCGUGGGGAGCAAACGGGAUUAGAUACCCUGGUAGUCCACGCCUAAACGAUGUCAGCAACUAGCUGUUGGGGCUUCGGGCCUUGGUAGCGCAGCUAACGCGUGAAGUUGACCGCCUGGGAAUUACGGUCGCAAGAUUAAAAACUCCGAGAAUUGACGGGGACCCACAAGCGGUGGAUGAUGUGGAUUAAUUCGAUGCAGCACCCGAAAAACCUUACCUACCCUUGACAUGUCUGGAAUCCCGAAGAGAUUUGGGAGUGCUCGCAAGAGAACCGGAACACAGGUGCUGCAUGGCUGUCGUCAGCUCGUGUCGUGAGAUGUUGGGUUAAGUCCCGCAACAGGCGCAACCCUUGUCAUUAGUUGCUACCGAAGGCACUCUAUUGGGGCUGCCGGUAUUAAACCGGAGAAGGUGAGAUGACGUCAGUCCUCGGCCCUUAUGGGUGACCCCCAUCGCCCUGGCUGGUCGGGACGGAGGUCGCCCAGCGCGAGGGGCCAAUCCCGAAACCCGAUCGUGUUCCGGAUCACCAGUCUGCAACUCGACUGCGUGAAGUCGGAAUCGCUAGUAAUCGCGGAUCAGCAUGUCGCGGUGAAUACGUUCCCGGGUCUUGUACACACCGCCCGUCACACCAUGGGAGUGGGUUUUACCUAACCGUAAGGAGGGCGAUUUUCCACGGUAGGAUUCAUGACUGGGGUGAAGUCGUAACAAGGUAG
This 1457-nucleotide ribosomal RNA is filed under the name uncultured Bordetella sp. Its description in RNAcentral is "partial 16S-23S ribosomal RNA intergenic spacer". It matches the Rfam family "Bacterial small subunit ribosomal RNA". The record is from RNAcentral. Lineage: Bacteria; Pseudomonadati; Pseudomonadota; Betaproteobacteria; Burkholderiales; Alcaligenaceae.